CGACACGGUGACGUGGGGCGGAUCCCUGAAAACCGGUCUCAGUUCGGAUCGCAGUCUGCAACUCGACUGCGUGAAGGUGGAGUCGCUAGUAAUCGCGGAUCAGCAUGCCGCGGUGAAUACGUUCCCGGGCCUUGUACACACCGCCCGUCACACCAUGGAAGUCUGCAAUGCCCGAAGCCGGUGGCCUAACCACUUAUGUGGAAGGAGCCGUCUAAGGCAGGGCAGAUGACUGGGGUGAAGUCGUAACAAGGUACC
RNAcentral lists this ribosomal RNA (255 nucleotides) under uncultured bacterium. RNAcentral describes it as "partial 16S ribosomal RNA". It matches the Rfam family "Bacterial small subunit ribosomal RNA", at positions 1250 to 1500 of the family's 1533-position model. The record is from RNAcentral.